GUCCCAGCAGCCGCGGUAAUACGGAGGAUGCGAGCGUUAUCCGGAUUUAUUGGGUUUAAAGGGUGCGUAGGCUGUUAUAUAAGUCAGUGGUGAAAUAUUCGGGCUCAACCGGGAUACUGCCAUUGAUACUGUAUAGCUGGAAUAUGGUUGCUGUGGGUGGAAUGUGUGGUGUAGCGGUGAAAUGCAUAGAUAUCACACAGAAUAUCGAUUGCGAAGGCAACUCACAAAGCCAUUAUUGACGCUGAUGCACGAAAGUGUGGGGAUCAAACAGGAUUAGAUACCCUGGUAGUCCACACUGUAAACGAUGAUAACUAGCUGUCGGCGAUAGAUAGUCGGUGGCUAAGCGAAAGCGAUAAGUUAUCCACCUGGGGAGUACGACCGCAAGGUUGAAACUCAAAGGAAUUGACGGGGGCCCGCACAAGCGGAGGAACAUGUGGUUUAAUUCGAUGAUACGCGAGGAACCUUACCCGGGCUCGAACGGUGCAGGAAUAUGGUAGAGAUAUCAUAGCUAGCAAUAGUCUGUAUCGAGGUGCUGCAUGGUUGUCGUCAGCUCGUGCCGUGAGGUGUCGGCUUAAGUGCCAUAACGAGCGCAACCCUUGUCGUUAGUUACCAUCAAGUAAAGUUGGGGACUCUAGCGAGACUGCCACCGUAAGGUGUGAGGAAGGGGGGGAUGACGUCAAAUCAGCACGGCCCUUACGUCCGGGGCGACACACGUGUUACAAUGGUAGGUACAGAGGGGCGCUAUCCAGUGAUGGAGUGCGAAUCUCAAAAACCUAUCUCAGUUCGGAUUGGAGUCUGCAACUCGACUCCAUGAAGUUGGAUUCGCUAGUAAUCGCGCAUCAGCCAUGGCGCGGUGAAUACGUUCCCGGGNNUNGUACACACCGCCCGUCAAGCCAUGGA
Molecule: ribosomal RNA, 900 nt
Filed under: uncultured Bacteroides sp.
Lineage: Bacteria; Pseudomonadati; Bacteroidota; Bacteroidia; Bacteroidales; Bacteroidaceae
Description: bacterial SSU rRNA
Rfam family: Bacterial small subunit ribosomal RNA
Source: RNAcentral